Molecule: ribosomal RNA, 700 nt
Filed under: uncultured Ralstonia sp.
Lineage: Bacteria; Pseudomonadati; Pseudomonadota; Betaproteobacteria; Burkholderiales; Burkholderiaceae
Description: bacterial SSU rRNA
Rfam family: Bacterial small subunit ribosomal RNA
Source: RNAcentral
AACGGCAGCACGGGGGCAAUCCUGGUGGCGAGUGGCGAACGGGUGAGUAAUACAUCGGAACGUGCCCUGUAGUGGGGGAUAACUAGUCGAAAGACUAGCUAAUACCGCAUACGACCUGAGGGUGAAAGUGGGGGACCGCAAGGCCUCAUGCUAUAGGAGCGGCCGAUGUCUGAUUAGCUAGUUGGUGGGGUAAAGGCCUACCAAGGCGACGAUCAGUAGCUGGUCUGAGAGGACGAUCAGCCACACUGGGACUGAGACACGGCCCAGACUCCUACGGGAGGCAGCAGUGGGGAAUUUUGGACAAUGGGGGCAACCCUGAUCCAGCAAUGCCGCGUGUGUGAAGAAGGCCUUCGGGUUGUAAAGCACUUUUGUCCGGGAAGAAAUCGCACCUGAUAAUACCGGGUGUGGAUGACGGUACCGGAAGAAUAAGGACCGGCUAACUACGUGCCAGCAGCCGCGGUAAUACGUAGGGUCCAAGCGUUAAUCGGAAUUACUGGGCGUAAAGCGUGCGCAGGCGGUUGUGCAAGACCGAUGUGAAAUCCCCGGGCUUAACCUGGGAAUUGCAUUGGUGACUGCACGGCUAGAGUGUGUCAGAGGGGGGUAGAAUUCCACGUGUAGCAGUGAAAUGCGUAGAGAUGUGGAGGAAUACCGAUGGCGAAGGCAGCCCCCUGGGAUAACACUGACGCUCAUGCACGAAAGC